CAUCUUUUUAGAGAUUUGGCAGAAGUCCAAGACCUUAUGGCAUGUGAACAAACUCUUUUUGCCCGACAGAAUGUGGACAGCAGAACUGCUUCAUAAAUCGGGAGGAAGGCACACCUGGAAGGUGGUGAUGCCGGUGCAGCGGGAAAUGUGCCAGAAACCUAGAAUGGAACAGCACAGCAAGGGCUGCUCCCUGGCCAUUAGAAAUAGAACACCACACCCAAUGGCUAAAGCUGGUGGCCAGAGAUAAGAACUUAGAGGCAUCUCUCCUGCCUAGCUGACUGGGCCCCCUGUUUUCCCACCACUUCCUUUAAAUAAACCAUUCAUGCAUUUGCCUGUAAACUUAAAGUGACCCAUAUUCUGCUAGCUGCCACUCUCUCUUUCUCUCUGCCUGACCUUUCAUUCCUGCCUUGCGUGACCCAGGGAUGGAGGGCUGCCCUCCAGAUUCAUUGCACCCU
Molecule: long non-coding RNA, 455 nt
Organism: Symphalangus syndactylus (siamang)
Lineage: Eukaryota; Metazoa; Chordata; Mammalia; Primates; Hylobatidae
Source: RefSeq, a predicted model, not a curated record